This 78-nucleotide transfer RNA is filed under the name Methylobacterium sp. WL120. RNAcentral's name for it is "tRNA-Met". It matches the Rfam family "tRNA". Rfam says of the family: Transfer RNA (tRNA) molecules are approximately 80 nucleotides in length. Their secondary structure includes four short double-helical elements and three loops (D, anti-codon, and T loops). Further hydrogen bonds mediate the characteristic L-shaped molecular structure. tRNAs have two regions of fundamental functional importance: the anti-codon, which is responsible for specific mRNA codon recognition, and the 3' end, to which the tRNAs corresponding amino acid is attached (by aminoacyl-tRNA synthetases). tRNAs cope with the degeneracy of the genetic code in two manners: having more than one tRNA (with a specific anti-codon) for a particular amino acid; and 'wobble' base-pairing, i.e. permitting non-standard base-pairing at the 3rd anti-codon position. Lineage: Bacteria; Pseudomonadati; Pseudomonadota; Alphaproteobacteria; Hyphomicrobiales; Methylobacteriaceae. The record is from RNAcentral.
GCCAGGGUAGCUCAGCCAGGUAGAGCGGUGGCCUCAUAAGCCACGGGUCGCAUGUUCAAAUCAUGCCCCUCGGCACCA